CCAUUUCCCACCUCCGCACCCCUGCUCGCUGUCCACGAAGUCUCCACGUCGAUCGCCGCUGUUUACCAUCUCAGGAGCCCUCUGCUCCGUCCCAGUCGCUGGUGGGUAGCUCCGAGAAGCCUGCGUCCUCCUCUACAAUUCCCCUACUUUGCCUGCUGCUGUUCGCACCGCUCGCCGUUGUCGUGUCGUCGAGCCGCCGGCAUUCGCGACUCGCUGGAGCAUCGUUUGUCGCAGACUCUCUGCCCUUGUGCCGUCUUCAGCGCGGAACAUCGCUAGAGCACCUCGCCGGAGCUGUACUGCCAUGUGCCAUCGGAAGAAGCUGCUGGACGUCGUUCGAUUCCAUCACCGCACCGGUCCUGCUGCUUCAUCGUGUCGCUGCCCGUGUUCGUUGGUUCAGCUCGCCGAAGCUAUCGCCCUCGUCAUCAAACUAAGGUAGAAGAUAAUACAAAUUAUAAACUACCCUCUAGACUAUAGGCUAAUCUCGUAUAAAUCUCUGCGACGAUGUUUUUACUAUAAAAUAAUUAUUUACCAUUUAAAUAAUUUAUUCGAGCUGUUCACCUCAUAAGUUUAUGCAAAAUAUAUUAAAAUCAUUAUUUGCCAAUGUUCACGUGUUUUUCGUAACUUCAAUUUGGUUAGUGAUUGUUAUAAUUGACUUUACGUAGUUUUAUAAAUAAGAAAUGAGAGAAAGAUUACAUAUUUUUAACAAAAAAUUGGAGAUGUUUAUUCCUAACGAUAUUUGUAUAAAAAAAUGUAAAGGUAUCACCUACCCUUCUAGUCUACCUUUAUUUAUGUGUAGAUCCAUGUUACAACUUUUAUUAUAAAAUAUAAAUUUAGAACCCAAAUAAAAUAGAAAUGGUUUUGUUAGUUUUAUUAAUUUUGCAUAAGCAUUAUAAUUAGUGUUUCCAACAGUGCACACAUUUUCGUAGUUUAAUUUGAAAUUAUGGUGGUUAUACAAGAGAUAUUAAAAUAGCCCUUUUAAAGAGAUAUCAUGGUUUCCUAAUUUAACCAUGUUCAUUAUAGGUGUUUAAGUAUGGCUUUCUUAAAUAGAAAUUUAAAAUAAAAUGUAGACCAUAUAUUUCUUAAUAAAAAAAUAGAAGAUAAAUAUAUGUCCAAUUAAUAGAUUAGUUAUAUUUUCUUAAUGAAAAGAUAACAAGGGUCAUUGCCUUUAUAAACUAAAAUAAUAGUUUAUACAGAGUUUCCUUUCUAACGAAUUAGAUCAUUUGUUCCUAUAAUAGAAUUAAAGAUAAUUAAUAGAUUAAUUAUCCUUUAUCAUAAUUUAUUAAUCAAAUCUAUAGUCAAUUUGUUCUUAACUAGAUUUAUGGCAUGAUUAAUGAUUUCAUAGAAUUUAGUCCACAUUAUAUAUGAAUCACUUAGCUUUUUCUAAGGGAUAAAAUAAAGUAAUAAGAGUUUAAGUUCUUUUAUAACUUAAAAUGUUACCUUAUAUAUGGACUUCGAAUAUACUAAUAUAGGCUAUGUGUUUUCGAAGGAAAUUAAAAGAUAGUUAUUUGUUUAUUAUCUUUUGCAUUAAAAUCCACUUAAGACCCAUAACCUAACUCGUCUUAAAUAGGUGAUUAAUAAUAUAAUUAUGAUCUUUUCACAUAAAACUUAUUUAGACUUAUAUCUUAAUUUGUCAUAAGUGAAUGAUUAACAAUGUGCUCCAUAAUGCUUCUAUAAUUAAUAACGUGAUUAGUAGCCCAUUAACAUUAGAUAUAACAUAUAUCUUUUCUAAAAGAUUAGAAAUGUUUAAUAUGGUUAUAACGUGUUCUAUCAUCUUAUAAACCCUUAAUCUUAGAUGUAUCACAUAUGACGUUUUAUAAAAGAUUAAAUUGAUGAACCUAAUAUUUGUAUAUUUUAAUUAAGAUAUUUUAAGCUCAUGUCUUAUUUUAUAAAGUAUAGAUCACAUGUUUGAAAAGAAUACCCUCUUAUUAUAACCAUGACUUGCGACAUAUUUGAAAAGCGAACGCUCUUUUCGUUAGGCUUUCUUUUAGCUUUACAUAUGGUGAAUGUGGUAUGUUAUUGAGUGGUGUUUGUUCUUCUUGUUUGUUUGUGUGAUAUUCAGUGGUUGAUCUAGUAGUU
Molecule: long non-coding RNA, 2076 nt
Filed under: Zea mays
Lineage: Eukaryota; Viridiplantae; Streptophyta; Magnoliopsida; Poales; Poaceae
Description: long non-coding RNA (ZMAY_LNC000524)
Source: RNAcentral